This 756-nucleotide ribosomal RNA is filed under the name Acinetobacter venetianus. RNAcentral describes it as "bacterial SSU rRNA". It matches the Rfam family "Bacterial small subunit ribosomal RNA", at positions 123 to 874 of the family's 1533-position model. The record is from RNAcentral. Lineage: Bacteria; Pseudomonadati; Pseudomonadota; Gammaproteobacteria; Moraxellales; Moraxellaceae.
AAUCUGCCUAUUAGUGGGGGACAACAUUCCGAAAGGAAUGCUAAUACCGCAUACGUCCUACGGGAGAAAGCAGGGGACCUUCGGGCCUUGCGCUAAUAGAUGAGCCUAAGUCGGAUUAGCUAGUUGGUGGGGUAAAGGCCUACCAAGGCGACGAUCUGUAGCGGGUCUGAGAGGAUGAUCCGCCACACUGGGACUGAGACACGGCCCAGACUCCUACGGGAGGCAGCAGUGGGGAAUAUUGGACAAUGGGGGGAACCCUGAUCCAGCCAUGCCGCGUGUGUGAAGAAGGCCUUAUGGUUGUAAAGCACUUUAAGCGAGGAGGAGGCUACUAGUAUUAAUACUACUGGAUAGUGGACGUUACUCGCAGAAUAAGCACCGGCUAACUCUGUGCCAGCAGCCGCGGUAAUACAGAGGGUGCGAGCGUUAAUCGGAUUUACUGGGCGUAAAGCGUGCGUAGGCGGCCAUUUAAGUCAAAUGUGAAAUCCCCGAGCUUAACUUGGGAAUUGCAUUCGAUACUGGAUGGCUAGAGUAUGGGAGAGGAUGGUAGAAUUCCAGGUGUAGCGGUGAAAUGCGUAGAGAUCUGGAGGAAUACCGAUGGCGAAAGCAGCCAUCUGGCCUAAUACUGACGCUGAGGUACGAAAGCAUGGGGAGCAAACAGGAUUAGAUACCCUGGUAGUCCAUGCCGUAAACGAUGUCUACUAGCCCGUUGGGGCCUUUGAGCUUUAGUGGCGCAGCUACGCGAUAAGUAGACCGCCU